AGAGUUUGAUCCUGGCUCAGGAUGAACGCUAGCGACAGGCUUAACACAUGCAAGUCGAGGGGCAGCGGGGGCGUAGCAAUAUGCCUGCCGGCGACCGGCGCACGGGUGAGUAACACGUAUGUAACCUGCCCUAUGCAGGGGGAUAACCCGGAGAAAUCCGGCCUAAUACCGCGUAACACCUUAGGGGAGCAUUCUCUUGAGGUUAAAGGAGAGAUCCGGCAUAGGAUGGACAUGCGUCGCAUUAGGUAGACGGCGGGGUAACGGCCCACCGUGCCGACGAUGCGUAGGGGUUCUGAGAGGAAGGCCCCCCACACUGGUACUGAGACACGGACCAGACUCCUACGGGAGGCAGCAGUGAGGAAUAUUGGUCAAUGGCCGAGAGGCUGAACCAGCCAAGUCGCGUGAGGGAAGAAUGUCCUAAGGAUUGUAAACCUCUUUUGUCGGGGAGCAAAAAGGCUCUGCGGAGUCGUAUUGAGAGUACCCGAAGAAAAAGCAUCGGCUAACUCCGUGCCCAGCAGCCGCGGUAAUACGGAGGAUGCGAGCGUUAUCCGGAUUUAUUGGGUUUAAAGGGUGCGCAGGCGGCGUGUCAAGCAAGCGGUAAAAUAGCGGGGCUCAACCCCGUCGAGCCGUUUGAACUGGCGCGCUUGAGUUCAGGCGAGGUAGGCGGAAUUUGUGGUGUAGCGGUGAAAUGCAUAGAUAUCACGAAGAACUCCGAUUGCGAAGGCAGCUUACCAGUCUGCGACUGACGCUCAGGCACGAAAGUGUGGGUAUCGAACAGGAUUAGAUACCCUGGUAGUCCACACAGUAAACGAUGAGCGCUAGGUGUCCGGGUCGCAUGGAGAUUUGGGUGCCCGAGCGAAAGCGUUAAGCGCUCCACCUGGGGAGUACGCCGGCAGCGGUGAAACUCAGAGGAAUUGACGGGGGCCCGCACAAGCGGAGGAACAUGUGGUUUAAUUAGAUGAUACGCGAGGAACCUUACCCGGGCUCAAACGACUCAGGAAUAUAUUGGAAGCGGAUGUAGCCAGCAAUGGUCUGAGUCGAGGUGCUGCAUGGUUGUCGUCAGCUCGUGCCGUGAGGUGUCGGCUUAAGUGCCAUAACGAGCGCAACCCCUACCGCCAGUUGCCAACGGGUAAAGCCGGGAACUCUGGCGGGACUGCCGGCGCAAGCUGCGAGGAAGACGGGGAUGACGUCAAAUCAGCACGGCCCUUACGUCCGGGGCGACACACGUGUUACAAUGGCAGGUACAGCGGGAAGCCACCUGGUGACAGGGAGCGGAACCCGAAAGCCUGUCUCAGUUCGGAUUGGAGUCUGCAACUCGACUCCAUGAAGCUGGAUUCGCUAGUAAUCGCGCAUCAGCCAUGGCGCGGUGAAUACGUUCCCGGGCCUUGUACACACCGCCCGUCA
Molecule: ribosomal RNA, 1404 nt
Filed under: uncultured bacterium
Lineage: Bacteria
Description: 16S ribosomal RNA
Rfam family: Bacterial small subunit ribosomal RNA
Source: RNAcentral